AUUGAACGCUGGCGGCAGGCUUAACACAUGCAAGUCGAGCGGGGUGAUGGUGCUUGCACUAUCACUUAGCGGCGGACGGGUGAGUAAUGCUUAGGAAUCUGCCUAUUAGUGGGGGACAACAUCUCGAAAGGGAUGCUAAUACCGCAUACGUCCUACGGGAGUAAGCAGGGGAUCACUUGUGACCUUGCGCUAAUAGAUGAGCUUAAGUCGGAUUAGAUAGUUGGUGGGGUAAAGGCCUACCAAGGCGACGAUCUGUAGCGGGUCUGAGAGGAUGAUCCGCCACACUGGGACUGAGACACGACCCAGAGUCCUACGGGAGGCAGCAGUGGGGAAUAUUGGACAAUGGGGGGAACCCUGAUCCAGCCAUGCCGCGUGUGUGAAGAAGGCCUUAUGGUUGUAAAGCACUUUAAGCGAGGAGGAGGCUCUUUUGGUUAAUACCCAAGAUGAGUGGACGUUACUCGCAGAAUAAGCACCGGCUAACUCUGUGCCAGCAGCCGCAGUAA
This 503-nucleotide ribosomal RNA is filed under the name uncultured bacterium. RNAcentral describes it as "partial 16S ribosomal RNA". It matches the Rfam family "Bacterial small subunit ribosomal RNA", at positions 30 to 523 of the family's 1533-position model. The record is from RNAcentral.